This 1032-nucleotide ribosomal RNA is filed under the name human gut metagenome. RNAcentral's name for it is "bacterial LSU rRNA". It matches the Rfam family "Bacterial large subunit ribosomal RNA", at positions 1897 to 2925 of the family's 2925-position model. The record is from RNAcentral.
GGCCGAAGCGGUGAAUUCAAGCCCCGGUAAACGGCGGUGGUAACUAUAACCAUCCUAAGGUAGCGAAAUUCCUUGUCGGGUAAGUUCCGACCUGCACGAAUGGCGUAACGACUUCCCCACUGUCUCGACCAGGAGCUCGGCGAAAUUGCAGUACGAGUAAAGAUGCUCGUUAAGCGCAGAAGGACGAAAAGACCCCGGGACCUUUACUAUACCUUGGUAUUGGCAUUCGGUGUGGAUUGUGUAGCAUAGGCGGAAGGCUUCGAAGCCACGGCGCCAGCCGCGGUGGAGCCGCAAGGUGAAAUACCGCUCUGUUCGCAUUGGAUGUCUAACCUCGACCAGUCAUCCUGGUCAGGGACAGUGCCUGGCGGGUAGUUUAACUGGGGCGGUUGCCUCCCAAAGAGUAACGGAGGCGCUCAAAGGUUCCCUCAGCCCGGUUGGCAAUCGGGUGGCGAGUGUAAGUGCACAAGGGAGCUUGACUGCGAGACUGACGGGUCGAGCAGGGACGAAAGUCGGAACUAGUGAUCCGGUGCCGGUGUACGGACGCGGCAUCGCUCAACGGAUAAAAGGUACCCCGGGGAUAACAGGCUGAUCAUUCCCAAGAGUCCAUAUCGACGGGAUGGUUUGGCACCUCGAUGUCGGCUCGUCGCAUCCUGGGGCUGGAGCAGGUCCCAAGGGUUCGGCUGUUCGCCGAUUAAAGCGGCACGCGAGCUGGGUUCAGAACGUCGUGAGACAGUUUGGUCUCUAUCCUCUGCGCUCGUCGGAAUGUUGAGGAGGCCUGCCCAUAGUACGAGAGGACCUGGGUGGACGAACCUCUGGUAUGCCGGUUGUCACGCCAGUGGCACGGCCGGUUGGCUACGUUCGGAAGGGAUAACCGCUGAAAGCAUCUAAGCGGGAAGCCUGCUCCAAGAUAAGCAUUCCAUAGGACUACGGGUCCUUGAAGUCCCCAUGCAGAACACGUGGUUGAUAGGCCGGACGUGGAAGCCCCGCGAGGGGUGGAGCCGACCGGUACUAACGGACGAAAGGCAACACAAC